Molecule: long non-coding RNA, 3201 nt
Organism: Osmia lignaria (orchard mason bee)
Lineage: Eukaryota; Metazoa; Arthropoda; Insecta; Hymenoptera; Megachilidae
Source: RefSeq, a predicted model, not a curated record
UGUGCCGAGUAGUUUGUUCGUGGCCGUGGUCGAGCGUGCUUCUCGUAGCUAACACUUGCGCGGUCGAGUCUGCGCGUCACGCGUACUUUGAUUGGUCAGUGUUUUUUAUUAAUAAUUCAAAAACUAAACCUUGACGCACAUUUUGGUAUAAAAAAAGUUGUUAAAAAUCAUCCCAGCUACCACCUCCUGUAAGGAUGUCCAUCCAUAACCUAACAUUUUGUACAAACCCCUCGAUGGGGUUAUGGCCUCUACUAAGGGUCAGAAUAAUAUUUCAAGUCAAGUAACUCGAUUAAUCUAAAAGUCGCGGAAAUGUGAUUUAAUUGUGAACUAAAGUGAACACCGGCCAAAUUCUCGUAUAGGAUUACGUCUGGGUUAUGGUAAAUGAUUGAUCGAGCACAAGUGUUCAUAUGGCGCGCAUCAAACACUAAGGAAGAACUCCAAUAUCUCAGCAAAUGAGAGAAAGAAGAGAAUCUUCAUUUACCUCCUCAACAGACAGAAUUCGAGAUUCUUGUUCGAGUUCCAACAGCUGUUUCCACUGGGGAUUACACAUUGGUGCCGGCCCACAAUUCCUGGUUCCAAAGCGACCACAGCGACGCCGCACAAAGCAUGCCGCAAGCUUCAGCCACGCGCCAAACAACGGCAAACAUAAUCCGACGUCAGUUAGUGGGGUAUCUAUCCGCCAGAAGGGUAGCCAUCGCAUAGCAGAGAGAACUGGCCCAAAGCGUUGAGUCUAUUUGGCUGAGCAAAGCACGAUUCUCCGUCUGAGCAGCAUCCUAGUCUCGAGUCUCACCUGUAUCCCGGACGAAAGGGGGGUUGGAAAGGAAGGAAGAAGGGUGGAGAAGGCGAAAUAGAUCAGGAUUGCAAUCCCCACCAGACGGUUAUUUCCCCUUCUCGCGGUCGCGCCGAAGGGGUAGGAAAGCGGACGAGGGGGGUAGAGGUCGGUUGUGGCUGCGUUGAACGGGGUGUCGGCGGCCCCGCCCGUCAUAUUCCGCCAGGGCCAAUCCCGCGUGUGCUUUUUAUUAGAUCCAUAAAUCCAUCAUAUCGUCGUUCAACCCUCCCGACAAAGCAGCCAUUGGCCAGGCUUAUGAGUACGCGACGUCGCCGGCCGAAAACUCGGAACACCGUGUUUAUGGCGUUGGCGCAUUGCGGACGUUCCUUCAGACCCGCCUUGUUAUUAAUAUUGAAUUUUUAGCCGCGAACGAGACAAGAAGGUACAGCUCUGCCGGUUGAUAUAGAGAUGGCGCAAGCGCGCUAUCCAAACCGUGUUCGGUCCAGUUCGGCCAAGAGGAGACCAGAGAGCAACGCACAGCCCUCCUACCUCCAUCGUCCAACCGGAACUCGAUCGUUUUCUCUCUCCGUAGGCCGAACAUCGAGAGCAAACAGCUGAAACAACCAUCUUAAAAGAUGUAUCGCGAGCAACCGUGAUGAUCGGGCUAGCGCGAGACUUGUAAGCGGGAAAGAAGGGUGAAAUGGUAGCAGGCAAGGCUUGGAAAGAGACCAGGGGACUCCUUGACGGACGCGGAGAUCAAUAACCUCCGAUAGCAUACUCGGAUAGCUAUAUACCGGGCCAUUUCCAACGGCAAUAAAACGCCAUAGCUACGUGUAUUGCGAUUCUCUUGCCGGCCUCCUAUUGGCCGUAAAACACUGGCCGGCUGAAAGGUUGAAUUUUAUCGUAGAGGGCGGGAGGAAGAAAUAUCGAUGGGAAAAGGAGAACGCGGAAUACAUGCAUCCGGGGGUGUCUUUCGCUCGGCUUGAAUUGUUGCAGGGGUGCGUUCGUCCAACAGAGUAUUUGAUAGGACCGGGAUAAAGAGUGGAAACGACCGUACCCCUCUCUGCAUGCUUUAUCACCUACCACCAAACUAUACUACCGGAACAUUUUUAUUUUCUUUUCUUUUCUUUUCUUUAUUCAUUUAUUUAUUAUUAGUCGAGUCCACUGUUAAGAUUCUUAAUCUUAAAUGGAAAGUCUUGUUUUAAUCAGAGUACUUUCUUCAUAUCAGGUCAUCUAAUUACCAUCAAUGAUAAUGGUGUUAGGAAUAAUACAGUAGGAACUUAUUUCAACUGAUAAGAGACAAGUAUAAGAAUUCGUGUGGGAAGAUUUUAUUUAAGCGCGCGAGUCGCGUGACAGGGUUGUAACGUGAGAUCGAUUCGGAUACCCAAACAUCGGGGACUGUUAGCUUUAAGUCGAGGGGUAGUAGAUUGGGAAGCAAAUCCAUAGAUACUGGAUAGCGUCCUCUUGAACUGUGCGAUGUUCAUUUCACCCCUGUAUCAUUUACUUUCGUCGAUCAACAAAAAAACAACGAUGAAAUUCUAACAUUUAAACAAAAAAUACAAGAAGCUUCCCAAACGACCCCUUAUCAACGAAAAGUACUUCUAAAAUUGGUAUUUUCUUUAUUUUCAUGUAACUUUUUAUUACAAUUUCGAAUAAGUUUGUAAAGUGUGGAGGAUGUAAAGGUUGGUAGGGGAUGAAUUUCCAUCUACGCAGAAUCAUACUCGGCGUGUAUGAAUAUGAAGAAAUGUGAUGGAGCAACACCAUUGGAUGAUCCCAGUCUCCAAUCAUAAAAUAGCUCGAUAUGAAGCGGUGCUAUGAUAUGAUAUUAUCAUAACGCGACUAGGGUUAUUAUUGGUCGAAGUCACCCUACUCCGCUUUUCCUUGCUCCUUCCUUUCUUCCGCCGUUCCAACCACCCCCGACGCAUACGUUUCUCCAGCGUCGAGGUGGGGCUCAGCCCCGCCAGUCGUCUCUCAACCCUCUUCAAACCCCCCUCGUCUCUCAACCGCCCUCCAACCCCCCCGAAUUAUGAGGAUCAAUACACGAGGAAGCUUGCAAGGGCAGCGCCGACGCUACUCGCUUGUCGACCUCCUUCGAGCACGGACUCCCUCGACCAACUGGACCUUCCAUAGGGUGAUGGCUACUCCAUCGGUCAUCCUUGAAUUAUUUUUAAACAAUGAUGCACAAUGGUAAACAAACUUAUCUCGUUUGUGUUAUUACCCCUUAGUACAUGCCAUCGUGUAAAUAUAUUUACGACAUUGCCUCUUUAACAAAAUUAAUAAAACAUUAAUAAAUUAGCAUCGAAACCCUCCUUACCGGAAUUUCCCCACAGACAAUUCAGUUUUUAAUCUUUGAUUGACCGAAAACAAAGCCGGUUAACCGAAGAUUUCCAGAUCCCCGAGAUCUCUAUCGAAAUAAUGAAAUAUGCAAACUU